Molecule: ribosomal RNA, 422 nt
Filed under: Verrucomicrobiota bacterium
Lineage: Bacteria; Pseudomonadati; Verrucomicrobiota
Description: Verrucomicrobia bacterium partial 16S ribosomal RNA
Rfam family: Bacterial small subunit ribosomal RNA
Source: RNAcentral
UGGGGAAUUUUGCACAAUGGGCGCAAGCCUGAUGCAGCGACGCCGCGUGAGGGAUGAAGGCCUUCGGGUUGUAAACCUUUUUCGCUCAUGGUCAAGCCGCAGCUUUGGGUUGUGGUGAGGGUAGUGGGUAAAGAAGCGCCGGCUAACUACGUGCCAGCAGCCGCGGUAAUACGUAGGGCGCGAGCGUUGUCCGGAAUUAUUGGGCGUAAAGGGCUUGUAGGCGGUUGGCCGCGUCUGCCGUGAAAUCCUCUGGCUUAACUGGGGGCGUGCGGUGGGUACGGGUUGACUUGAGUGCGGUAGGGGAGACUGGAAUUCCUUGUGUAGCGGUGGAAUGCGCAGAUAUCAGGAGGAACACCGGUGGCGAAGGCGGGUCUCUGGGCCGUUACUGACGCUGAGGAGCGAAAGCGUGGGGAGCGAACAGG